GAGUAUAAUUUAAAGUAGGGCCUGCCCACUGAUUUUUUUGAAGGGCCGCAGUAUUUUGACUGUGCAAAGGUAGCAUAAUCAUUAGUUUUUUAAUUGAAAGCUUGUAUGAAUGGUUUGAUGAAAAAAUGACUUUCUUUAAUUAAAUGUAAAAGAAUUUUAUUUUUAAGUUAAAAAGCUUAAAUAUUUAUAAUAGACGAGAAGACCCUAUAGAGUUUAAUUAUUUAAAUUAUAAAAAUUUUUAGAAUUAUAUAUUUUUAUUUAAACAAUAAUUUGAUUGGGGUGAUUGAAAAAUUGAAGAAACUUUUUUUUAUUUUUAUCAUUAAUUUAUGAAUAUGAUCCA
RNAcentral lists this ribosomal RNA (340 nucleotides) under Macronaemia episcopalis. Its description in RNAcentral is "partial large subunit ribosomal RNA". The record is from RNAcentral. Lineage: Eukaryota; Metazoa; Arthropoda; Insecta; Coleoptera; Coccinellidae.